CCUACGGGAGGCAGCAGUGGGGAAUCUUGCACAAUGGGGGAAACCCUGAUGCAGCGACGCUGCGUGAGUGAAGAAGUAUCUCGGUAUGUAAAGCUCUAUCAGCAGGGAAGAGAAUGACGAUACCGAACUAAGAAGCACCGGCUAACUACGUGCCAGCAGCCGCGGUGAUAAGUAGGGGGCAAGCGUUAUCCGGAUUUACGGGGUGUAAAGGGAGCGUAGACGGUCCUGCAAGUCCGGAGUGAAAGCCGAUGGCUGAACCAUGGUACUGCUCUGGAAACUGUGGAGCUUGAGUGCGGGAGGGGCAGGCGGAAUUCCUAGUGUAGCGGUGAAAUGCGUAGAUAUUAGGAGGAACACCGGCGGCGAAGGUGGCCUGCUGGACCGUAACUGACGUUGAGGCUCGAAAGCGUGGGGAGCAAACAGGAUUAGAUACCCUUGUAGUC
Molecule: ribosomal RNA, 440 nt
Filed under: uncultured bacterium
Lineage: Bacteria
Description: partial 16S ribosomal RNA
Rfam family: Bacterial small subunit ribosomal RNA
Source: RNAcentral